Unclassified non-coding RNA from Aotus nancymaae (Ma's night monkey), 203 nucleotides. Lineage: Eukaryota; Metazoa; Chordata; Mammalia; Primates; Aotidae. The record is from Ensembl.
GGGUGACUGAUCGUACCCGCCAGCUGGCUAAUGUCAUAAUUAACAAAGUUGCUACUACAUCUGCAAAGUUUAAUCGAAAAAUUUGCCAGUGAUAUGAUGGCAUUGUCUCAGAGAUCACAAGGGACAUGGAGUCGACUUUUGCUCAAGGUGGAACGACAGAGCUGUGCAGGCAAGAUGAGAAAUUGCGAACUUGUUCGACCAAA